AACGGGAGUGAGGGAGCUUAGCCGCGGGAAGAGGAGGCGCGGGUUUGACUCGUCCCCGCAGAUCCGCCGUUCCGACCCGUCACCGUCGCGAGGAGGAGAAGUCCCUGUCGCCGUUCCGUGUGGCCGCGCCGUCAUCGUUGUUCUCGGAGAUCCACGAUCAGAGGAUGCCCGCGCGGGGGUGGAGGACGUUGCUGUUGUCGCCGCUGUUAAAGCUACCGCCAGCUGCGUCACCACCACGCCUUGCCUCGCCGCUGUUGACCUCUCAAGAGUCCACUGCCGCCGGAGCUCAUGCCAUCGCCGAUUGAGCACCACAAAGAACAGCGCCGCGUGAAUCAGGGAAAGGAGAUGCCUUUCUGCCUCUGCUCCUGGGUUUUGGAUUCUGACCAGGCGCCACUACCGCUGUGGAGUUAGUGUUGCUCUGGUCUUGCCCUGGCUCCAUUUGGAACCGCUGCUGUUGGUAAGUUGCAUUGUCACUGCCUUUACUGGAGAUGGUUGCUGGCUCUGUUUGGAGAUGUAUGUUACAACUAGUAUUCGUUUUGGGGACUGCUUCAUCUGUUGCUGGAACUACUAAUGGAACCAUCGCUGAGGCUUGUGUUCUUUGGUUCGGUCAGUAUUCUUUAGCUACCGAUUAAGCUAUCAGACCACAUGUUGCGCGUAAGGGUUGUAAUUGCUGCCGCGAAUGUGAACAAAGCUGUGAUGCGAGCUGCCGGUAACUUCAGGUUGAUAGAGACUUACGGUGGCGCGUUUGAGUUAUGGAAUUGCGUUUUGAGGAUAUGGGCGCAGAAGUUACGAAGAGCUUAUUUAAU
Molecule: non-coding RNA, 806 nt
Organism: Arachis ipaensis
Lineage: Eukaryota; Viridiplantae; Streptophyta; Magnoliopsida; Fabales; Fabaceae
Source: RefSeq, a predicted model, not a curated record